This is a non-coding RNA of Gasterosteus aculeatus aculeatus (three-spined stickleback), 473 nucleotides long. NCBI's taxonomy places the organism in Eukaryota, Metazoa, Chordata, Actinopteri, Perciformes, Gasterosteidae. The record is from RefSeq and is a predicted model, not a curated record.
AAUAGUGAAACCCGGUCAUGUGACGAGGACUCACUGGCUCCGUGUGUUUGCAUACGUGUCCUUCCUCUCUGCUCACACGCCUUAAGAGAGCUGAUCAGUGGCGGUCCAGGCCUCACGCACACUGGCACGCCGGCAGCACAAUGAUGAUGUCACUGAGUCUACUGCUGACCAGCCUGGGGCUCCUUGUUCAGGGUUCAUCAGGAGAAAUCCAGCUGACUCAGUCUCCUGGAUCUCAGUCUGUUCUUCCAGGACAGACUGUCUCCAUCAGGUGUAAUGCCAGUUCUGGCAUUAGUACCUACCUUCACUGGUACCUACAGAAACCAGAAGAAUCUCCCAAACUUUUGAUUUAUCGUGCCUCAAGUCGUCAGUCAGGGAUCUCAGAUCGUUUCAGUGGAAGUGGAUCUGGAAGUGACUUCACUCUGACCAUCAGAGGAGUUCUGACUGAAGAUGCAGGAGAUUAUUAUUGUCAGCAG